Molecule: long non-coding RNA, 1881 nt
Organism: Zingiber officinale
Lineage: Eukaryota; Viridiplantae; Streptophyta; Magnoliopsida; Zingiberales; Zingiberaceae
Exons: 3
Source: RefSeq, a predicted model, not a curated record
ACUUAUGCCUUCCUCCCUCACCCUCUUGCCACGCCGUCCCGGUCUACUCUUCCCUCCCGAACCGACGACACCCUUGGAACCUUGAAGCCGCAGUGCCGCCUCCUCUUCUCAUCGCAGACGCCAAGCACUCGCCGGAAACCGAAGCCACCACCAUCUCCUUCCUCUGCCCUAGUGUUGACGGCCUCCCCUCUGCCCUAGCUCCCGAUCGUCGCCGACCUUCUCCCCAGCUAGGAUUGAGAGCUAUGAGCUUCGAUAGCUGUAAUCAGCGGUUGAGUCUGAGACACAGGUGGCCUGUGAUUGCAGCCGCCCACCCUUCGAUCGGUUGAGUCAAGCCCUAGCUCGAUCCAUCAUAGUUUUAGGGCUUCCAGCGGCCAAAUUAAGUGGACCAACAGGGGAGCAUCUGAGAUUUGGGGACUUUGAUUCGAGACAGGCAUCUCGACGUUGGAUUACUGGAUACGAUCCUAUAUUUUGAGGCGGGUACCUCUGACUUAUCUCCUUGAUAUGGUCAUUUUUUAUAUGCAUAAUAAUUUAUAGCUAGUAGUAAUGAUUGUGUUUACUUCUGCUUUGGUAUGUCACUUCUUGGUUCUUGUGGUCUGCCUAUAUUCCUAUCUAUUAUGCAUUUAUACUUAUAUUCUCUUAUUUGUUGCCAUGAUUACUCUUGUUCAUAGAAAUAGUGACAUACAUUGCCCUAUUGUGUAGUAGUCUAGUUAUUUGACAUGUCUGACUUGUGUACUUAGUUUAUUGUUACCUAGAUCAUUGCAUGGAUUUAUUUCCUUUUUGGUACAUUUUAUAUGGAGGUGUAUACUGUCAGUAUCUACAUGUUAGUGUCAUGCACCAUCUUGCAUGAUUGCAUGAUGAGCGAUUGUCGGCUCCAUUGUUGUUGAGUACAUCGUCAGUUAUAUGGAUCUGCACACACAACCACUCUUGGGUUAGUGGUAUAUCAGGCAGGGUGUGUUGCAGCAGGUUGCUCUAUUAAGGGCUCUGCUGGCCCACUUAUGGGUAGUUGUGAUGCAGCGUGGUAGUAGGACAGGGAUCCCUCCUCUGGACCGUCUCGGGGAGAUGAGAGCAUUGAACUCCCCCACUUAUGACUUGGGGUAAGAUGAUAGGUGUAUUCCAACAACAUCCUGUCCACUCGAUCACUCAGAAGUAGUGAUGGUAGAGUACACAGUUGUCAUAGCCCUACCCACUCGGUCUCACCAUUGUGUAUGAGAUGGCUGACUGGCGUCAGGGGUGACCAUGUCAUUUUUGCAUCAUAUGCAUGGAUUGCAUUUAUUGUUUAUGCUUGCUACAUUAUGUAUGUUGCAUUUUGGUGGUUGCAUAUGAUUGACAUGCAUACAGGUGACAUUUUGUAUCUGGUCUGAUGACCCUUAUUUCCGGAUAGGAGGUUCUGGUGAGUACAGCUUCUCCCAUUUCAUUGAGUUUUGCAUUUUCCAUUAUUAUUCCAAGAGACUGUACGCAUAAUUGUUACUAUUGGUUAUUUCCUACUAUGCAUGUCAUCUUGGUAUCCACUGAAUGUUGGACUCACCCCAUUAAUAUAUUUUCUAUUUCAGGUUGAAGCUGUCAGAAGGUUCUAGUCGCUAGUCCCCACUAGGUGUUGAGGUGGUUUUAUAUAUAUUCGGAUUUGUGUUUCCUUGUUAGUGAACUACAUACUUGUGAUGUAUGUGUUUUGCACUUUGGAUUUUAUAUCGUGCUUCGGGUCUGAUGCCCACGUUUCCGCUGCAAAGGUUUUCCGAUGUGUGUGUUGCCCUUGUUGUAGUGGAGUAAGCAUUAUUAUAAACUGUGUGGUUGUGUAGUCAGCCGAAGGCUGAUUUAUUAUUAACUGCGUGGAUUGUUUAUUUUUAUCUAUUAUAUAUUCUAGCCAUGUUGGCUGAUGGUUGUGAA